This 164-nucleotide ribosomal RNA is filed under the name uncultured bacterium. RNAcentral's name for it is "partial 16S ribosomal RNA". It matches the Rfam family "Bacterial small subunit ribosomal RNA", at positions 355 to 511 of the family's 1533-position model. The record is from RNAcentral.
UAGGGAAUCUUCCACAAUGGGCGCAAGCCUGAUGGAGCAACACCGCGUGAGUGAAGAAGGGUUUCGGCUCGUAAAACUCUGUUGUUAAAGAAGAACAUAUCUGAGAGUAACUGUUCAGGUAUUGACGGUAUUUAACCAGAAAGCCACGGCUAACUACGUGCCAA